This 626-nucleotide ribosomal RNA is filed under the name uncultured bacterium. RNAcentral's name for it is "bacterial SSU rRNA". It matches the Rfam family "Bacterial small subunit ribosomal RNA", at positions 249 to 885 of the family's 1533-position model. The record is from RNAcentral.
UUGGUGGGGUAAUGGCCUACCAAGGCGACGACGGGUAGCCGGCCUGAGAGGGCGACCGGCCACACUGGGACUGAGACACGGCCCAGACUCCUACGGGAGGCAGCAGUGGGGAAUAUUGCACAAUGGGCGAAAGCCUGACGCAGCGACGCCGCGUGGGGGAUGAAGGCCUUCGGGUUGUAAACCUCUUUCAGCAGGGAAGAAGCGAAAGUGACGGUACCUGCAGAAGAAGCACCGGCUAACUACGUGCCAGCAGCCGCGGUAAUACGUAGGGUGCAAGCGUUGUCCGGAAUUAUUGGGCGUAAAGAGCUCGUAGGCGGUUUGUCGCGUCUGCUGUGAAAACUCGGGGCUUAACCCCGGGCCUGCAGUGGGUACGGGCAGACUAGAGUGCGGUAGGGGAGAAUGGAAUUCCCGGUGUAGCGGUGAAAUGCGCAGAUAUCAGGAGGAACACCGAUGGCGAAGGCAGGUCUCUGGGCCGAUACUGACGCUGAGGAGCGAAAGCGUGGGGAGCGAACAGGAUUAGAUACCCUGGUAGUCCACGCUGUAAACGUUGGGCGCUAGGUGUGGGGGACCUCUCCGGUUCUCUGUGCCGCAGCUAACGCAUUAAGCGCCCCGCCUGGGGAGUACGG